UCCUAAUAAUGCAAGUCGAGCGCGACGAUGGGAGCUUGCUCCCUGAUGUUAGCGCGCGGUACGGAGUGAAGUAACACGGUGGGGUAACCUGCCUGUAAGACUGGGAUAACUCCGGGAAACCGGGGCUAAUACCGAGAUGGUUGUCUGAACCGGAUGGUUCAGACAUAAAAGGUGGCUUCGGCUACCACUUACAGAUGGACCCGCGGCGCAUUAGCUAGUUGGUGAGGUAACGGCUCACCAAGGCGACAAUGCGUAGCCGACCUGAGAGGGUGAUCGGCCACACUGGGACUGAGACACGGCCCAGACUCCUACGGGAGGCAGCAGUAGGGAAUCUUCCGCAAUGGACGAAAGUCUGACGGAGCAACUCCGCGUGAGUGAUGAAGGUUUUCGGAUCGUAAAGCUCUGUUGUUAGGGAAGAACAAGUGCCGUUCAAAUAGGGCGGCACCUUGACGGUACCUAACCAUAAAGCCACGGCUAACUACGUGCCAGCAGCCGCGGUAAUACGUAGGUGGCAAGCGUUGUCCGGAAUUAUUGGGCGUAAAGGGCUCGCAUGCGGAUUCUUAAGUCUGAUGUGAAAGCCCCCGGCUCAACCGGGGA
Molecule: ribosomal RNA, 597 nt
Filed under: Bacillus amyloliquefaciens
Lineage: Bacteria; Bacillati; Bacillota; Bacilli; Caryophanales; Bacillaceae
Description: bacterial SSU rRNA
Rfam family: Bacterial small subunit ribosomal RNA
Source: RNAcentral